UCUUGUAGCCUGCUCACAGCCUGAAAUUUAGAAGGGAAAAAUUUCCCCCUUCUGAAUUUCAGGCUGUGAGCAGGCUAUAUAU
Non-coding RNA from Paramuricea clavata, 82 nucleotides. The record is from the annotation of a GenBank genome assembly. Lineage: Eukaryota; Metazoa; Cnidaria; Anthozoa; Malacalcyonacea; Plexauridae.